CUUUUCGUCCACUACUUUUCUUCCUUCCCGGCGCAAUCCUCAUCUAUUCCCCAUCAUCUCUCUAAACAAGCCCUGAGCACCACAUCCUUCAUUUUUUCAGAUCCCGGUGAUCUACUGCUCCGGCGAGCGGUGGCCGGAGUUACUGCAGGGGUUCUGCUACUCCGGCGAGUGGUGGCCGGAGUUACUACAGGGGUGAGGAGCGGUCGUUGCCUGCUGGGAACUGAGCCACCUGCUGCUGCGAGCGGUGGCCGGAGCUGAGUGGGCUGCAAUCACGACAGUGCUGCAGCGCUCGUCGCCAUGGCCACCCGCAGCUGGGUGCGCUGCUCUCCAAGGUCGGCGCGAAUGGGAGAGAGCCAGGGAGGAAGCUCGCUGCGUCGGCAUGCAGUGAGGUCGGCAAACUGAUGAAGCCUGAAGAAUGAUUGCAUUCGGUUGCAGGAAUACGCAUCCGGGCGAGACGAUUGGGAUGCUCGAUCAUCGCGCCGCCAAAUGUCCGCAUCUGAUCCCCGGUUCUCAUGGACGCAUCAUCUUUUCUUUUCCUUUUCUCCCUUCUUUCUCUGCUAUCUUGCUGCUGUCCUCCAUGCACCCUGAGUCAGAAUAACGCGUCAAUGACAUAUACAUGCCAACAAAAAAUCAUGAGGGAUCCUAUGGAUCGGAUGCCCUACUGUUUCAGUUAGCUGCCGGUUCUUGCUUUGGGAGCGCUUUGAUUGACACAUAUUCUUCUCCUUUGCAUUCAGGCUGGGGUAAAACAUAUAUUCUCCUUUUGCAAAGUUAUGUUCCAAGCACACAUACAUGAUAAUAAAUCUGUAAUCACUAGAGGUGUUACAUGUGUUUCUUUACAUUAGUAUACAAGCAAAGUGCUGGACUUAAGUGGGACCAAACAGCAAAGGUGAGAAGAUUGCAUUCAAACGUGGGCGCCGCAACUGAACUGAGCUUGACCUUUACUCAAUCGAUCUAGAAUGUCCGACCACUAGGUAAGUAUCGUUCGGUCUGAGAAUAAUCAGCCUGAUGUGGAACCCAAUGUACUAGCAAGAAUAGAAGUGAAACUUUUUGCUCAAGUCAAUGUAUUACAGUUCCUUUCUUCUUCUUUUACACCAGAACCGUCCUUUUAGCAAGAAAGUUGGGUAAAAGAAGAGAAAAAUUCGUGACCUCGCGCUUCGGAACGAGCGGGUAGUGACGAUCAAGCUAGGUAGAGUGUGGUCAGCUACUCAGCCAGCUCGGCGUCUGGUGGUGGUGAUAAUGGAGUUGGGGAGCAACCACAUGAAGAUGAUGCAUGCAUGCGUUGGCCCAACUGAAUGGAAGAGGAGAGCUUGGAGGUGACGACGAGGAUGAUUGUCCUUUUGCUGCUUGCGUACUCAAAGGAUGGGGGGAGGAUUAGGUGGGGUGUUAUUAGUGUUGUGUGAUAAGCAAGCGGCGAUCAGAUAGAUACUGUUUCUUCAUCGUUUUGUCUAUGAUUAUCGGCAAUUGCAACUCCGGGAGUAGGCCAACGGUGUACACCUCACGAUUUAUGACCAAACGUUCUCUCACCGGUUUCAGUUCGUACAAAACUGUCGUCAACCUUCGUGACGAGCCUAAUUUUUUUUUUCAUACUGUGCUAAACAAUAUUCAUGCAGCUUCUAAAAAGGUUUGUACUAUUCCAUAUAAAAGUUUGUGACAUUUAAAAAGUAUUCACGUG
RNAcentral lists this ribosomal RNA (1672 nucleotides) under Triticum aestivum (bread wheat). RNAcentral describes it as "partial small subunit ribosomal RNA". Lineage: Eukaryota; Viridiplantae; Streptophyta; Magnoliopsida; Poales; Poaceae. The record is from RNAcentral.